Molecule: regulatory RNA element, 139 nt
Organism: Anaerovibrio lipolyticus
Lineage: Bacteria; Bacillati; Bacillota; Negativicutes; Selenomonadales; Selenomonadaceae
Rfam family: Ribosomal protein L10 leader
About the family: This family is a putative r-protein leader autoregulatory structure found in B. subtilis and other low-GC Gram-positive bacteria. It is located in the 5' untranslated regions of mRNAs encoding ribosomal proteins L10 and L12 (rplJ-rplL).
Source: Rfam
UAAUAAAAUAGUCUAUGGCUGUAGACAGCAGGUAUGGAGCUUCGGCUUCAUUUAAAGGAGACGCCUGCCGAGGCCGGAUGCUUACGCAUGAAUAUGCGGCUUCCGGUAAAUCAGCCGGAGGCCGUUUUUGCUCUUUAUA